CCUACAGAGCAGAAGAGAUGGCUACAGAGUUAGAGAAAGGCCCAAUAAAAGAAUCUGUAGUCCAAGGACCAUUUUCCUUUAGACCAAGCCCUGUCCAAAGGAUAAAACCCCAAGAUGAAAUCGGGAGUGAGAGAGGCAAAAGUGGGGAGAAAGCCUUUAGCUGACUGCUACUCACCCCAUCAUGUACAAGUGCUUUCCAAGAAUGCUCCAAUUUCUUAACAAACCUGCAGAGAAAAAUUAAUACCACACACACUAUUUCUGAAUGAAUGUCUAAUAGGUUUUUUCUCCUCCCCCAAUUCUAGGAAGAGGCAAUAAUAUAAAACCUUGAAACGACAAAAUCUGAAAGAAAAAGUCUUCCACUCUGAACCCAAGUACAUUCCUUAAGGAAAAAUGCUGUGAGCUUGUGCUCACCUCCCUGGUACCCGAGCCUACUCACUGAUCUUCUGUCUCCAUGGUUCCACCUCGUCGAGCCUCGCCCUGAAUGGAUUCCAUGGCUGUGGAGUAGAGAGCUUUUUGGGGAGCUGGUCUGCGCGUGUCAAAUGAGUAUUGUGUUUCAUUAUUUAAGGGCUCUCGUUGUGCAUGAUCUAUGUUGUGGAUUGACAUCAAAAGACUGUAAUCCAUUAUCUUAAAACUCUGCAGCACCUAAUGGAAAAAACAAGCAACCAAACAAAUAUGAUAUGAACCUUUGGAGGCAUAAGGAGUUUUUCAGGAUUUCACAGCUUCAUGAUCUAAUUAUACUUGAUAAUGAACCUUCAGGGCUAACCAUAAAAUUGUCCACUGUUUUUCCUACUCUUUGGAAAAGAGAAUAUUAGGCUCUCUGGUCAGUCUUUAAUUAUACCCCUUUAUCUUUCUCUCAUUUGAGUAAUGGAAAUUAAUUUUUCAAAUCCCACUGCCAAUCCACAGACACUCCUUGUAUUUCUUCAUGAAAAUAACACUAUAUUCUCAAGGUAACAAGGAAUAUGUAUUUGUGCUAUAAGGAAGCCACAAUUAAAGUCUAAGUAAAAGCAUACUUUAUAGGGGCUGCGGGCGGUUGUGGCUCAGUGGUAGAGUGCUUGCCUAGCAAGUGUGAGGCACUGGGUUCCAUUCUCAGCAUCACAUAAAAAUAAAUAAAGGUCCAGCAACAACUGAAAACAAGUAUUCUUUGUAAUAGAGCAGACUUUAACCUAUCAGCUUCAAUUCAGUUCAAAAUUUACUGAAUCCCCGCCAUGUGUUAUAGAUAUAUACUUAGAUAUGUAGAUACUUGAUGAGUUUCUACUGGGGCUGGGGUGUAGCUCAGUGGUAGAGUACUUGCCUACCAGGCACAAGGCCCUGGGUUCAAUAUCCCCACCAUGCACACACAGACAUAAACACACAGAGGAUUUCUGUCUUCAAGCAUAUUACAAAUUUAGAAGGGCUACAAAUGUAAAUAAAGGCAAUACAGUCUAACAUAUGCAACAAGAGAAGUAUUUAUGUGACAGAAAAGCACACAUCUAAUGGAUUUAUGAAGUAGAAAUUGGAGAUAAAAUAAGCCCAAGUAAAUAAAGGCAGGAAAGAACAUUGCUAAAACUGGGAGUGCAAAACAGCACAUUUUGUGCAGGGAGAUAUAAUCUGGUAUUGCUAGAACAUAAUAUGCAAAUACCUGGUGUAGAAGAUUAUGGGCAAGACAAUGAGGGCACAAUAUAUGUCAUAUUAAGAAGCCUGGUCUUGGGUUGGGAAUGUGGCUCAAGUGGUAGUGUGUUUGCCUAGCAUGCAUGAGGCACUGGGUUCGAUUCUUAGCACCACAUAAAAAAAAAAAAUAACAUAAAGCUAUUGUGUCCACCUAAAAUUAAAAAAUAAAUACUAAAAAAAAAAAAAAGAAGUGGUAGCAGCAGCCUGGUCUCCCAGGUCAGGUGGUACAUGCCUGUACUCUCAGGAACUCAGGAGGCUAAGGCAGGGGUAUUGCAAAUUUGUGGCCAGUUGCAAGUUCAAAGCCAGCCUCAAUAACUUAGGGAGACCCUGUCUUAAAACAAAAAACAAAAAAGGGAUGGGGAUGUGGCUCAGUGGUUAAGUACCCCUGCGUUCAAUCUCCUGUACCAAAAAAUAAAGAAGCCUGGGUUAUACUUCCAGUGCUGUGCAAACUCAACCAAGGGUAUGCUGAUAGAAGAAUGAAGUAAAAGGAGAGGAAAACCUAAGCCUAGGAUUGUUUUUUGUGCACUAUGUGAAAAAAACUCCAUUGGUUGAGUAAGUCUCCAGUCCUUGCAAUUGAAGGAUACAAUCUAAAAUAGACAUUAUCCUUGGAAGCAGAUGCAGACUGAGCAAACAAAGGCAAGAAUGGACAAUAUUCUGGACUGAGCAGAGGAAGAUGAUUUUGCAAAAGCAGUUAAAACAACAACAACAAAGAAAAAUCAGUAGAGAAAUGCUGACCGGAAAAAAAAAAAAAAAGGAAAUGGUUUACAG
Molecule: long non-coding RNA, 2415 nt
Organism: Ictidomys tridecemlineatus (thirteen-lined ground squirrel)
Lineage: Eukaryota; Metazoa; Chordata; Mammalia; Rodentia; Sciuridae
Source: RefSeq, a predicted model, not a curated record